GCCGGGGUUGCAGAGUGGUACUGCGCCGGCCUUGAGAGCCGGUGCCCGCAAGGGCUCCUGGGUUCGAAUCCCAGCCCCGGCG
This 82-nucleotide transfer RNA is filed under the name Archaeoglobus profundus. RNAcentral describes it as "tRNA-Ser". It matches the Rfam family "tRNA". Rfam says of the family: Transfer RNA (tRNA) molecules are approximately 80 nucleotides in length. Their secondary structure includes four short double-helical elements and three loops (D, anti-codon, and T loops). Further hydrogen bonds mediate the characteristic L-shaped molecular structure. tRNAs have two regions of fundamental functional importance: the anti-codon, which is responsible for specific mRNA codon recognition, and the 3' end, to which the tRNAs corresponding amino acid is attached (by aminoacyl-tRNA synthetases). tRNAs cope with the degeneracy of the genetic code in two manners: having more than one tRNA (with a specific anti-codon) for a particular amino acid; and 'wobble' base-pairing, i.e. permitting non-standard base-pairing at the 3rd anti-codon position. Lineage: Archaea; Methanobacteriati; Methanobacteriota; Archaeoglobi; Archaeoglobales; Archaeoglobaceae. RNAcentral also lists the same sequence under 1 other name. The record is from RNAcentral.